RNAcentral lists this ribosomal RNA (451 nucleotides) under uncultured bacterium. RNAcentral describes it as "bacterial SSU rRNA". It matches the Rfam family "Bacterial small subunit ribosomal RNA", at positions 354 to 796 of the family's 1533-position model. The record is from RNAcentral.
GUGGGGAAUAUUGCGCAAUGGGCGAAAGCCUGACGCAGCGACGCCGCGUGGGUGAUGAAGGCCUUCGGGUCGUAAAGCCCUGUCGGGAGGGACGAAACAUCGGCGCUCUAAUACAUCGCCGACCUGACGGUACCUCCUAAGGAAGCACCGGCUAACUCCGUGCCAGCAGCCGCGGUAAUACGGAGGGUGCAAGCGUUGUUCGGAAUUACUGGGCGUAAAGCGCGUGUAGGCGGCACUCUAAGUCUGGUGUGAAAGCCCGGGGCUUACCCCCGGAAGUGCAUUGGAUACUGGAGUACUAGAGUACCGGAGAGGAGGGUGGAAUUCCUGGUGUAGCGGUGAAAUGCGUAGAUAUCAGGAAGAACACCGGUGGCGAAGGCGGCCCUCUGGACGGAUACUGACGCUGAGACGCGAAAGCGUGGGGAGCAAACAGGAUUAGAAACCCGGGUAGUCC